RNAcentral lists this ribosomal RNA (253 nucleotides) under uncultured bacterium. RNAcentral describes it as "partial 16S ribosomal RNA". It matches the Rfam family "Bacterial small subunit ribosomal RNA", at positions 524 to 776 of the family's 1533-position model. The record is from RNAcentral.
UACGAAGGGGGCUAGCGUUGUUCGGAAUUACUGGGCGUAAAGCGCGCGCAGGCGGUUUUUCAAGUCAGUGGUGAAAGCCCGGAGCUCAACUCCGGAAAUGCCAUUGAAACUGCAAAACUUGAGGACGAGAGAGGUGAGUGGAAUUCCCAGUGUAGAGGUGAAAUUCGUAGAUAUUGGGAAGAACACCGGUGGCGAAGGCGGCUCACUGGCUCGUUUCUGACGCUCAGGCGCGAUAGCGUGGGGAUCAAACAGG